RNAcentral lists this ribosomal RNA (58 nucleotides) under Calonectria orientalis. Its description in RNAcentral is "partial 28S ribosomal RNA". It matches the Rfam family "Eukaryotic large subunit ribosomal RNA", at positions 1 to 55 of the family's 3401-position model. Lineage: Eukaryota; Fungi; Ascomycota; Sordariomycetes; Hypocreales; Nectriaceae. The record is from RNAcentral.
GGUUGACCUCGAAUCAGGUAGGACUACCCGCUGAACUUAAGCAUAUCAAUAAGCGGAG